UUUUGGGUCUAGUAAUUGGAAUGAGUACAAUAUAAAUCCCUUAACAAGUAUCCACUGGAGGGCAAGUCUGGUGCCAGCAGCCGCGGUAAUUCCAGCUCCAGUAGCGUAUAUUAACGUUGCUGCAGUUAAAAAGCUCGUAGUUGGAUUUUUGGUUGGUCCACCUGGCCCGGGAUGUGUAGCCUUCGGGGUGCGUACGCUCGCGUGUCGGAAUUCGGCCUUCCAUCCUGUCCAGGGAGCAUUGUGUGUCCUUUACUGUGAUGCGCUUGUGCGAUCUGGAUCAUUUACUUUGAAAAAAUUAGAGUGUUUAAAGCAGGCUUACGCCGUGAAUACAUUAGGCAUGGAAUAAUAAUAUAGGACUUUGGUUACUAUUCUGUUGGUUUCUAGGAGCCAAGUACUGAU
RNAcentral lists this ribosomal RNA (399 nucleotides) under Babesia sp. RNAcentral describes it as "SSU rRNA". It matches the Rfam family "Eukaryotic small subunit ribosomal RNA", at positions 494 to 869 of the family's 1831-position model. The record is from RNAcentral. Lineage: Eukaryota; Apicomplexa; Aconoidasida; Piroplasmida; Babesiidae.